RNAcentral lists this small nuclear RNA (21 nucleotides) under Arabidopsis thaliana (thale cress). RNAcentral describes it as "snRNA_05671". Lineage: Eukaryota; Viridiplantae; Streptophyta; Magnoliopsida; Brassicales; Brassicaceae. The record is from RNAcentral.
GGCUCCCAAAGGCACGUGUCG